Molecule: ribosomal RNA, 460 nt
Filed under: uncultured bacterium
Lineage: Bacteria
Description: partial 16S ribosomal RNA
Rfam family: Bacterial small subunit ribosomal RNA
Source: RNAcentral
CCUACGGGGUGCAGCAGUGAGGAAUAUUGGUCAAUGGGCGCUAGCCUGAACCAGCCAAGUAGCGUGAAGGAUGACUGCCCUAUGGGUUGUAAACUUCUUUUAUAUGGGAAUAAAGUGCAGUAUGUAUACUGCUUUGCAUGUACCUUAUGAAUAAGGAUCGGCUAACUCCGUGCCAGCAGCCGCGGUAAUACGGAGGAUCCGAGCGUUAUCCGGAUUUAUUGGGUUUAAAGGGAGCGUAGGCGGGUUGUUAAGUCAGUUGUGAAAGUUUGCGGCUCAACCGUAAAAUUGCAGUUGAUACUGGCAGCCUUGAGUACAGUAGAGGUAGGCGGAAUUCGUGGUGUAGCGGUGAAAUGCUUAGAUAUCACGAAGAACUCCGAUUGCGAAGGCAGCCUGCUGGACUGUAACUGACGCUGAUGCUCGAAAGUGUGGGUAUCAAACAGGAUUAGAUACCCUGGUAGUC